This is a long non-coding RNA of Orbicella faveolata, 820 nucleotides long. NCBI's taxonomy places the organism in Eukaryota, Metazoa, Cnidaria, Anthozoa, Scleractinia, Merulinidae. The record is from RefSeq and is a predicted model, not a curated record.
CACCCAACCUUCUCACUGUGACUGCCACAUAGAUAGUGCUGGCAAAUGUAUUUCAAGGCUCAUGUGUAUACAGGUACAGUGUACAUUGCACCAAGUAAAUAUUACAGUCAAGUGUCAUGUGGGAUAUUCCAUGGCAGAUCCCUCAAAAAUGUUGCAUAACUAGACAAGUAUGCUAAAUUUUAGCAAGUGCUUCACACUGAAAAAUGGCAAAUGAUAUGUAGGAAUUAUGAAUUGAUCAGCUACAAUGAUUGUUGAUCAAUACAUUAUUAGUAGUUAAGGUAACUGUUGUACUUGAUUUACAUGUACAUGUCAGGCACUUUACUUGCUCAAUAGGCACCUCAAAAAACCUUUCAUUUAGUCAACAUUAUAAACUCAUUACUCAUUAAACAGGAAAGGCAGUAAGAAAACAGAAAAUGGCGAGUACUUGUCAGAUGGCAUUGAUUCAUCAAGCACUAAUCAGGAAGGUACUCCACCACUGCUUAGUGUUCUUCGACAAAUUAAUCAAGCCACUUUAUUACAAGUUUUAGAAUAUCAUGUGGAAUGGUUAGAAGAAAUUGGAUUUUCACACAAUCAGGUAAUUCACAAACUAAUGUAGAUUCAUCCAAGCCUUUGCUGAAGUUAGACGCCCUUGUUAGAAAUCUUGUUAAAGCAAGCUGAACAUUUUACAGGACUGGUAAAUUUUUUUCUUGCCAUUUUUUGUGCUGAUUCUAAAGUAGCCGAGUACCUGGAAGAGGCUUAGGUAGAGUAAUAAUGGUAUAAUAGUAACCUUUAUUUGACCUCGGCGAAUCGUUUAUAGCACAUUGUUAACAAUCCCAACUGG